This 287-nucleotide unclassified non-coding RNA is filed under the name Hevea brasiliensis (rubber tree). Lineage: Eukaryota; Viridiplantae; Streptophyta; Magnoliopsida; Malpighiales; Euphorbiaceae. The record is from RNAcentral.
GUCAUUCCUUUUAUAACUUAUCCUACAAUUUUGUUUGUUUCAUCAUCUGUUUUGGGCACGAUCAAGGGAGGCAAUUGCAGCUUUGGAUCCGAUCUCUCAAAGGGCAAGCUCUGGAGCUUGUAGAGGAGGCGUUUGUAGCUUAAGAGCCCAACUCUCAAAAGGAAAAAUCUGGAGCUUGUAGAGGAGAGGGUUGAGUGCUUUAGAUAUUGGCAAUAAUACUUGAUGUGUUUAGAAAUCUGUGUUCCAUUGUACAGACGCCUCAUGCCAGAACAGAAAUGGCAAAGAAA